RNAcentral lists this ribosomal RNA (433 nucleotides) under uncultured bacterium. RNAcentral describes it as "partial 16S ribosomal RNA". It matches the Rfam family "Bacterial small subunit ribosomal RNA", at positions 29 to 507 of the family's 1533-position model. The record is from RNAcentral.
AACGAACGCUGGCGGCAUGCCUAACACAUGCAAGUCGAACGAGACCUUCGGGCUUAGUGGCUCACGGGUUCGUAACGCGGGGGAACCUGCCCUUAGGUUCGGCAUAUCUCCCCGAAAUAGGUGCUAAUACCUGAUUAUGUCUUCGGACCAAAGAUUUAUCGCCUUUGGCUGGGCCCGCGUUGGAUUAGCUAGUUGGUAGGGUAAAAGCCUGCCAAGGCGAGGUUGCAUAGCUGGGCGGCGAGGCGGAUCAGCCACGCUGGGACUGAGACACGGCCCAGACUGGUACGGGAGGGAGGAGAGGAGAAUAUAGGACAAGGGGGGAAAGUGUGAUGCAGCAGUGCGGGGUGAGUGAUGAAGGGCGUAGGGUUGUAAAGCUCUUUUAGCCGAGAUGAUAAUGACAGUACCGGGAGAAUAAGCACCGGCUAACUCCGUG